CGGGCGUCGGCCUGUGGGCUCCC
Molecule: non-coding RNA, 23 nt
Filed under: Arabidopsis thaliana (thale cress)
Lineage: Eukaryota; Viridiplantae; Streptophyta; Magnoliopsida; Brassicales; Brassicaceae
Source: RNAcentral